Long non-coding RNA from Cygnus olor (mute swan), 549 nucleotides. RefSeq lists it as uncharacterized. Lineage: Eukaryota; Metazoa; Chordata; Aves; Anseriformes; Anatidae. The transcript has 2 exons. The record is from RefSeq and is a predicted model, not a curated record.
GCUGUUUCUCUUCAUCGGUCAGCCACUGGAUAAAGGAGAACGUGAAGGGCAACAGGCAGAAGAGAACAGCAAAAGACAAAACGUCAGUAGCACAACUGGACAGCGAUGUGGAGCAUGAAGGCAGAGUUCCCUCAUAUGUUGAAGACUGCACCUGAUGAUGACAAAGACUGGAAAGAGAAGAGCAGGCAAGACAAAUGAGGGGAGAUAAUGAGUGGCAUAGAUGUGGUUAUUUCUGCAGGAUAAAUUACGUGAUUUGCUGGGGAGGAAGCAAAGGGAUAAUUCCCAGGACUAAACCACAGAUCUCCAGUUUAGUGACCUGUCUCCUGGAAUACCCAGGACCAGGGUGAGCAAUGACCAGAAACUAUUGCAGAGGUGGUCUCUAGGUGUUGGGAGAAAUGGUUCAGAGAAGCUGGAGAUGCCGGGUACUCUGUAAUACCCCUCCAUUUCUGAUCAUCAGAUUACAUAAGAAAAACUGGCAACUGGCAGAUAAUUAAACCAGAAUAUUCUCCUAGAGUCCUGACAAUCAUUCGGGAGUAACUUACUUCAGCA